RNAcentral lists this non-coding RNA (97 nucleotides) under Schistosoma japonicum. The record is from RNAcentral. Lineage: Eukaryota; Metazoa; Platyhelminthes; Trematoda; Strigeidida; Schistosomatidae.
UGAUAUGUUGUGGGUGUAAGUUGAUUGGCGUUGAUGAGUUGUGGAUGAACAAAUAGGGGUCAAUGUCGUGCACAACCUGCUUCCCCAUAUAAAGAUG